RNAcentral lists this ribosomal RNA (2923 nucleotides) under Lactiplantibacillus plantarum. RNAcentral's name for it is "bacterial LSU rRNA". It matches the Rfam family "Bacterial large subunit ribosomal RNA". Lineage: Bacteria; Bacillati; Bacillota; Bacilli; Lactobacillales; Lactobacillaceae. The record is from RNAcentral.
AGGUUAAGUUAACAAGGGCGCAUAGUGAAUGCCUUGGCACUAGGAGCCGAUGAAGGACGGGACUAACACCGAUAUGCUUCGGGGAGCUGUACGUAAGCUAUGAUCCGGAGAUUUCCGAAUGGGGCAACCCAGCAGUUUUAAUCAACUGUUACCACUAGAUGAAUUCAUAGUCUAGUUGGAGGUAAACGCUGUGAACUGAAACAUCUCAUUAGCAGCAGGAAUAUAAAGAAAUUUCGAUUCCCUAAGUAGCGGCGAGCGAACGGGGAACAGCCCAAACCAAAGUGCUUGCACUUUGGGGUUGUAGGACUGAACAUUUGAGUUACCAAAGAACUUGAUAGUCGAAGGAUUUGGGAAAAUCCGCCAUAGAUGGUGAUAGCCCAGUAGAUUAAAUCAAAUUCUCUCAGUUCAGGAUCCUGAGUACGGCGGAACACGUGAAAUUCCGUCGGAAUCCGGGAGGACCAUCUCCCAAGGCUAAAUACUACCUAGUGACCGAUAGUGAACCAGUACCGUGAGGGAAAGGUGAAAAGCACCCCGGGAGGGGAGUGAAAUAGUUCCUGAAACCAUGUGCCUACAAUAAGUCAGAGCGCGUUAAUGCGUGAUGGCGUGCCUUUUGUAGAAUGAACCGGCGAGUUAUGAUCCCGUGCAAGGUUAAGACUAAAAAGUCGGAGCCGUAGCGAAAGCGAGUCUGAAAUGGGCGUUUUGAGUACGAGGUUAUAGACCCGAAACCAGGUGACCUAUCCAUGUCCAGGUUGAAGGUGCGGUAAAACGCACUGGAGGACCGAACCCGUGUAAGUUGAAAAUUGCUGGGAUGAGGUGUGGAUAGCGGUGAAAUUCCAAACGAACUUGGAGAUAGCUGGUUCUCUCCGAAAUAGCUUUAGGGCUAGCCUCGGAAUUAGGAUCAUGGAGGUAGAGCACUAUUUGGACUAGGGGCCCGUCUUGGGUUACUGAAUUCAGAUAAACUCCGAAUGCCAUUGAUUCAUAUCCGGGAGUCAGACGAUGAGUGAUAAGAUCCACCGUCGAAAGGGGAACAGCCCAGACCAUCAGUUAAGGUCCCUAAAUGUAUGCUAAGUGGAAAAGGAUGUGGAGUUGCAUAGACAACUAGGAUGUUGGCUCAGAAGCAGCCACCAUUUAAAGAGUGCGUAAUAGCUCACUAGUCGAGUGAUCCUGCGCCGAAAAUGUACCGGGGCUAAGCAUACUACCGAAACCAUGGAUGCGACCAUUAGGUCGCGUGAUAGGAGAGCGUUCUAAGGGCGGUGAAGCAAGAUCGUGAGGACUUGUGGAGCGCUUAGAAGUGAGAAUGCCGGUAUGAGUAGCGAAAGAUAGGUGAGAAUCCUAUCCACCGAAUGACUAAGGUUUCCUGGGGAAGGCUCGUCCUCCCAGGGUUAGUCGGGACCUAAGUCGAGGCCGAGAGGCGUAGACGAUGGAUAACAGGUUGAGAUUCCUGUACUAGUUAAGUGCGUUUGAGCAAUGGAGGGACGCAGGAGGCUAAGAUGUGCAUUCUGUUGGAUUAGAAUGUCCAAGCAGUAAGUCUUGUGAAGAGUCAAAUGCUUUUCACUUUAAGGACAAGCUGUGAUGGGGAGCGAAAUUUAGUAGCGAAGCGUCUGAUGUCACACUGCCGAGAAAAGCUUCUAGUGAGUACUUAACUACCCGUACCGCAAACCGACACAGGUAGUCGAGGAGAGAAUCCUAAGGUGAGCGAGUGAACUCUCGUUAAGGAACUCGGCAAAAUGACCCCGUAACUUCGGGAGAAGGGGUGCUGAUCGCAAGAUCAGCCGCAGUGAAUAGGCCCAGGCGACUGUUUAUCAAAAACACAGGUCUCUGCAAAAUCGUAAGAUGACGUAUAGGGGCUGACGCCUGCCCGGUGCUGGAAGGUUAAAAGGAUGGGUUAGCUUCGGCGAAGCUCAGAAUUGAAGCCCCAGUAAACGGCGGCCGUAACUAUAACGGUCCUAAGGUAGCGAAAUUCCUUGUCGGGUAAGUUCCGACCCGCACGAAAGGCGUAACGAUCUGGGCACUGUCUCAACGAGAGACUCGGUGAAAUUAUAUUGUCCGUGAAGAUGCGGACUACCCGCGACAGGACGGAAAGACCCCAUGGAGCUUUACUGUAGCUUGAUAUUGAGUGUUUGUACAGCUUGUACAGGAUAGGUAGGAGCCAUAGAAACCGGAACGCUAGUUUCGGUGGAGGCGUUGGUGGGAUACUACCCUCGCUGUAUGACCACUCUAACCCGCACCACUAAUCGUGGUGGGAGACAGUGUCAGGUGGGCAGUUUGACUGGGGCGGUCGCCUCCUAAAAAGUAACGGAGGCGCCCAAAGGUUCCCUCAGAAUGGUUGGAAAUCAUUCGCAGAGUGUAAAGGCACAAGGGAGCUUGACUGCGAGACAGACAGGUCGAGCAGGGACGAAAGUCGGGCUUAGUGAUCCGGUGGUACCGUAUGGAAGGGCCAUCGCUCAACGGAUAAAAGCUACCCUGGGGAUAACAGGCUUAUCUCCCCCAAGAGUCCACAUCGACGGGGAGGUUUGGCACCUCGAUGUCGGCUCAUCGCAUCCUGGGGCUGUAGUCGGUCCCAAGGGUUGGGCUGUUCGCCCAUUAAAGCGGUACGCGAGCUGGGUUCAGAACGUCGUGAGACAGUUCGGUCCCUAUCCGUCGCGGGCGUAGGAAAUUUGAGAGGACCUGUCCUUAGUACGAGAGGACCGGGAUGGACAUACCUCUGGUGUACCAGUUGUGCCGCCAGGCGCAUCGCUGGGUAGCUACGUAUGGAUGUGAUAAACGCUGAAAGCAUCUAAGUGUGAAACACACCUCGAGAUGAGAUUUCCCAUUCCUUUAUGGAAGUAAGACCCCUGAAAGAUGAUCAGGUAGAUAGGUUAGAAGUGGCAGUGCGGUGACGCAUGAAGCGGACUAAUACUAAUCGGUCGAGGACUUAACCAAG